AGAGUUUGAUCCUGGCUCAGGACGAACGCUGGCGGCGUGCUUAACACAUGCAAGUCGAACGGAGAAUAGCUGAGAGCUUGCUUUUGGCUAUACUUAGUGGCGGACGGGUGAGUAACGCGUGGGCAAUCUGCCCGUAAGAGGGGGAUAACACUUAGAAAUGAGUGCUAAUACCGCAUAACAUCAGAAGGUUGCAUGACCUUUUGAUCAAAGGAGUAAUCCGCUUACGGAUGAGCCCGCGUCUGAUUAGCUAGUUGGUGGGGUAACGGCCCACCAAGGCGACGAUCAGUAGCCGGCCUGAGAGGGUGACCGGCCACACUGGAACUGAGACACGGUCCAGACUCCUACGGGAGGCAGCAGUGGGGAAUCUUCCGCAAUGGGGGGAACCCUGACGCAGCAACGCCGCGUGAAGGAAGAAGGUUUUCGGAUCGUAAACUUCUUUGAUUGGGGACGAAAAAAAUGACGGUACCCAAAGAACAAGCCACGGCUAACUACGUGCCAGCAGCCGCGGUAAUAC
RNAcentral lists this ribosomal RNA (514 nucleotides) under uncultured Peptococcaceae bacterium. RNAcentral's name for it is "bacterial SSU rRNA". It matches the Rfam family "Bacterial small subunit ribosomal RNA", at positions 8 to 526 of the family's 1533-position model. Lineage: Bacteria; Bacillati; Bacillota; Clostridia; Eubacteriales; Peptococcaceae. The record is from RNAcentral.